AAGAUUUUAUUUUUUUAAUUUGACAGACAAGUGGGCAGAGAGGCAGGCAGAAACAGAGAGAGGAGGAAGCAGGCUCCCUGCUAAGCAGAGAGCCCGAUGCAGGGCUCAAUCCCAAGACCUCGGGAUCAUGACCCGAGCCAAAGGCAGAGGCCUUAACCCACUGAGCUACCUGCUUCCCCCUCUCUCUCUGUCUGCCUCUCUGCCUACUUGUGAUCUCUCUCUCUGUCAAAUGAAUCCUUGAGGACGGCCUGCCCUCCCUGAACCCCGCAGGCCUGCCCUGGGGGGAAAUGCUCACUGGUAGUAGCCACAAAACCGAAAAGAAAUGUGUCCCGCCCCACAUUCUUCCCUGCUCCCCCUACCCAGAGCCUUACGCACAGAGUGGAGAGUCAAGCCUUCCCCCUGCCAGCCUGGGAGGGAGGAGAUCACCUGCUGUGGUCUUUAGUAUUUAUCUCUUUGCAGUCUGCACUGAGGAGCUGGGAGCCCAGGCCCCAGCUGUGCUCGGAUGCGAAACCCUUCGGCCGGCUCCAGCAUAUGCAGGAAAGCCGGCCGGAGCUCCAGACUGUUUAAAACGAUGUUUGAUCCAAUCCAGUUGAAAAAGAUAUUUUAGUAAAUACCUGAACUCACUCACUUCUGCAAAGAUUGGCUUCGGCUGUGAGUUCCCCAGGAGGACCCUUGGAGAAGCCAGGAGAUGCCCGAAGGCCACGUAAAUUCUGUCCCCACUGUCCUCCAUCCGCUGAAUACAGACACGGUCAUGGUCGUUCCAACAGUGGCUUCUUGUGAUCUCAGGAGGAAGGACCUUGGCAGAGGCUGCUCCUUCGAGAGGUUUUGCAAAGCUUAAAAGAGGAUCCAGCUUCCAGCCCAGAACCUGUAAAAUGCACAGGAUAUGAAAGGCACCAUCAGCCACGUCAGACAGAGUUCUGUGGCGUUAAGUGCACGCACACUGUUGUGUGGCUGUCACCACCGUCCGCCUCCAGAACUUUCCAUGAUCCCAAGCCGAACCCCAGAGGGGGCAGCUGGCCUCCUGGUACCAAGCUGAGACUUGCCUGGGGCGUACUUCAAGUGACCAAGAGAGACCAAGAAGACUGAGCUGUGUCCACACCGGGUGCCGUAGGGCCCCGCGGCCCGAGUCCCUGUGCCGCCUAGAACUGGUUCCCUUUGCACCGAAAGUAGGUUUGCGGCACACCCGUGACGGGGGGCCGCAUCCAGGGAGAUGCCAGAAAUAGCGGCCUCCUCUGUGCAGGACGGCGAGGUUCUGUGAGCCUCGCUGUGGCUGGAGAAACAGCCACAGGCACGGAGCUCUUGGGUACCACGGCCACGCAGGCCUCCCGUCUGCUGUUUGACAUCUGUGCUGCCUCAACCAUAGGGGGCAUGGGUUCUCGUCCCCACUGACUGCUGAGGAAGAGGAGACCGGGGCCCAGAGACCCACGCACCCGAAUCCGCACAGCUGCCCAGUGGAUUCUAGAACCUUCUAGUCGACUCCAGAAUGCUUUCUGCCGCACCAUGCCAACUCUCUGUUUGGACUCAACACGUUACAACAGGACAAUAAGGCUAUGGAAACAAUAGAAAAACAUUCUAUUUAGGCCCUUUAAUGCGCUGUGUCCGAAAUCCAGCUGGGGCUCCUUGGCCUGUCCUCAACCUUCCGCCUGUUUGUUUGUUUGUGGGAUGAGGUGGGCGGAGGGCCCGAGGGAGAUGCUCCCCGACAGCCUUCCAGGUCAAAGGCGAGCUGCCUUCCCUCCGUGGAGAAGACCAGACGUCGAUGACAAAACGCUUCCGGACAGGAAGAUGGCUUCACCUGGAGUGUGGUGUUAAGACAGAGCAGUCUAGAAGUCGGUCUGCCAUCCCUCGGGGAGUCUGCUUGUUAAGGCUGCUGUGCUUUGCCCACAAAAACUUGAGACACUGUCAUCUGAUCGGGGGCCCUGCCUGGCACAAAGGCCCAUCAGACGGCCUGGAAGGGCUCAGAGCCGGGAGGACCUGCUGCCCGCGGUGCCCGGGGCUGUGGGGCCCACAAAGCCACGUCUCAGGGGACAGGCCUGACCAGGAGUCGGCUUCCAGUGUCCCUGAAAAGAUGAGGACAACCACGGUGGACUGCUGUUGCUCGCAGCCAGGGGCCCAGAACCCCGGAAAGUGACGUCUGCCCUCGGGCCCCGAAGCCCGCUGGUCUCAGGCAUCUACCUUCUGAGCCACUGGCGUGGUCGUGUUUUGUGGAUGGUCUGAAAGGGGCUGCGGUUCCCGUUUCCUUUUAGGACUGGCUGCUGUGGGUCUCGGGGACAACUUGGGGCGGUGCCUGGAGCAGGCGGUUGGGGCGAUGGGCCACGCGCAGUUGAGCCCCACGUUCUCCGAUCGGGUGCAGGGCCAAGUGCUUGGGGCGGGGGGUCCCGUGGGCUAAGAGCCUGCUGACUCGCACCCCCUGCCCCUGCCCUCUGCCAGCUUGGCGACCUUGAGCAAGCGUGCUUCUCCUCUGUCUCCGUGUGUCCGAUGGAGGUCCGUGUGGUGCCCGCUCCCACACUGUGGUGCAGAGCGGGUGAGCAGGACGGGAUAGGACACUCCGUGUCUGGCCCACAGCGGCCCUUCCGCUCGUGCCCUAUUUCCAGAACCUUAUUAUCCCUGGGCCUCCAUGUUUGUACAAACUCCUAAAUCAUUGUGUUUCUUGUGGAAGUUUUAAAAUCUCAGCAAACCACACAGGGCACCUGGGUGGGGAGGGCGCAGUCUGACUCUCGGUUUCAGCUCUGGUCGUGAUCUCAAGGUCAUGAGAUCGAGCCCCACGUCGGGCUCUGCGCUCCGUGGGGCGUCCGCUUGAGACUCUCCGUCCUUCUGCGCCCCUCCCCGCUCUCUUGCGUGCUCCCCCACCCCCUUCUAAAAUAAAUACAUCGAUCUUAAAAAAAAAAAAAAUCUCGGUAAGCUAACUUAAAACCAUU
Long non-coding RNA from Mustela lutreola (European mink), 2915 nucleotides. RefSeq lists it as uncharacterized. The record is from RefSeq and is a predicted model, not a curated record. NCBI's taxonomy places the organism in Eukaryota, Metazoa, Chordata, Mammalia, Carnivora, Mustelidae. The transcript has 8 exons.